UACGGGGGGGGCAAGCGUUGUUCGGAAUUACUGGGCGUAAAGGCUCGUAGGCGGCCAACUAAGUCAGACGUGAAAUCCCUCGGCUUAACCGGGGAACUGCGUCUGAUACUGGAUGGCUCGAGUUUGGGAGAGGGAUGCGGAAUUCCAGGUGUAGCGGUGAAAUGCGCAGAUAUCAGGAGGAACACCGGUGGCGAAGGCGGGUCUCUGGGCCGAUACUGACGCUGAGGAGCGAAAGCGUGGGGAGCGAACAGG
RNAcentral lists this ribosomal RNA (252 nucleotides) under uncultured bacterium. RNAcentral's name for it is "partial 16S ribosomal RNA". It matches the Rfam family "Bacterial small subunit ribosomal RNA", at positions 524 to 776 of the family's 1533-position model. The record is from RNAcentral.